This 118-nucleotide ribosomal RNA is filed under the name Ruminococcus sp. The record is from RNAcentral. Lineage: Bacteria; Bacillati; Bacillota; Clostridia; Eubacteriales; Oscillospiraceae.
AUCUGUGUCGAUGACGGAGAGGUCCCACCCGUUCCCAUUCCGAACACGGAAGUUAAGCUCUCUUGUGCCUAAGAUACUCGUGCACUCAAGCAUUGGGGAAAAUCGGUAGACGCAGGUA